RNAcentral lists this unclassified non-coding RNA (339 nucleotides) under uncultured fungus. RNAcentral's name for it is "partial contains small subunit ribosomal RNA, internal transcribed spacer 1, and 5.8S ribosomal RNA". The stretch from base 1 to 73 matches the Rfam family "Eukaryotic small subunit ribosomal RNA", at positions 1759 to 1831 of the family's 1831-position model. Lineage: Eukaryota; Fungi. The record is from RNAcentral.
ACAAACUUGGUCAUUUAGAGGAAGUAAAAGUCGUAACAAGGUUUCCGUAGGUGAACCUGCGGAAGGAUCAUUAUCGAGUCCUUUGAAAGGGGUUGCAGCUGGCCUCUCUCCGGGGCAAGUGCUCGCCCCGCUCAAAAUUUACACUCUUUCAAACACCAGUGCACUUUUUUUAAAGACCUCUCUCCGUGUUUUGGACUUCUUCGGGAGGCCAAGCCCCGGGGGUGCGUUUUUAUCUCAUUACAACACCCUUGAGUUUUUUUUUGAAUGACGUUUCGGAUACAUUUUAAAACAACUUUCAACAACGGAUCUCUUGGCUCUCGCAUCGAUGAAGAACGCAGC